AUUAAUUAGAGAUAAAUAUUAGAGACUAAUUGGAAUAAGUGAGUAGAAAUUAUCACACAAAUAGAACACCAUGAUUUGUGGUCUACAUGUUAUUAAACAAAUGCUAAGAAAGAAUCAAAGCGGGACCCACACUUUGAUUAUGAACCACAUGACCAAAGCCAUAUCUCUUCAAUUUCAUUUUUCAUUUGCUGAACUGAAAGAGCACUCAGGAAACAAAGACUCCCUCACCCUCUCUCACGCCUCCCACCCUCAUCUCUACCUUUCCAUUUAUUCAACAAUCAAACAUGGAAGAUUCUUGCAUGCAAUCCACUCAUUAGUUUCUUGGGUCAAUUAGAGCAAGGAACAAAGUAUUGAUUAAAACCUCAAAGAUUCGGAGGUUUGAGUAAAAGGGGUCAAAUUGGAAGUUGAGAACUUAGUGGCAAAAAUAAGAAGUUCAUGGAGAUAGAGAAGUUGGGGAAAAGCUUGAAGCUUGGAGUUUCAACACUUAAUUCAUGAUUCUACGGCCGCUGGAAGUGGAGGAUGGCAGCAAAAGCUGCAUUUUGCUUACUGCAACAGCUCACCUAGCGAGCAGGAAGGUCUCUCAAUGACCGUAGCAGGGCAACAGUUCUUCUGCAUCUUUGUCAAACCAUUCUUGAAUAUUGGUAAGAAAACUUAGAGCUCUUUUCCUUUCAUUCAGAUUUCAGAAUCAGCAUAUUCUUCGAUGUUAGAAAAUGUCAUUAAUUCCAUUCUUGGUAUUUACAUGUGGUUUUUGUGGUGAAUGAGGCUUGGUUAAAUAAUUGGAGCUGAGCAUGGAAUUAAAAGUGGAAUUCAGAACCAUUAUAAAGGAAAAUAGAACUUAUUAAGAAGCAUUGGAUGCUUGAAUGAUGACUGAGGAUGUACGAAUCAGUAAGGACAAUUGUUGAAACAAGGAAACAAAGAAGACUGGAAAUAUUUAUGGAAAUUCGUAUGCUGGAUGUACCCUCACUAAAAUGGUACCAGCCUAGUGAGAUGUAAUGGAGAAAUGAGGUCUCGACGAAUCUUUAAAGUGAAAGGUCCAACACAGAAUUUAUGCAGAAAGUGUUUGGGAUUGGGCUGCACUCAAACGAAUUGUGGCCAGUAGGUAUUUUUGAAGUUGGAACUCUGAUGCUGGUAUUAUGCAGAAAAAUCUGCACACAAGUUUGGAGUAGUUUCGUUGCAAAUUCUGCUUUUCGACGAGUUUCGGAAAUGUCGGUGGUAUGGUUCAAGCGUCGAUUUCAGAUAAACAGGUUGAUCAAGAUAUCAUGGUCUACAAGCAUGGAGUUCAGAUACUUGGAUUAUGCUAGUUGAGCUGACGUCAUGUUAUCUUAUAUUUGUAUAAGAUUUAGUUUCUUUAUGUUUUCAGUUGUUAGCUCAAUUUAGUAUUAAUCUCUUGGAUUUUGUAAUCCUAUUUAUGUAUUCGGACAAUAUGUAAUGAAAAUUUAAUGUUUCCCGAUUCAGUUAUGUACACUCUUAUCGAUAUUCUAGAUAAAUUGACAUGGGGUGUUAUAAUUGGUAUCAGAGCAGGUCGAUUCACUAUCGGACCUUGCCGCGGAUCAUUAAAAUUCAAUCCAUAGUAGUACGGACCCUUUGGAGUCUGGACUGUUUACGCUGAAAUCAUCGCGUGUUGAGCCUGAUCAACUCAAUAUCGUGUAUGGUAGGCAGGGUAUUACGGUUGAGAACCGAAGUGGACCAAGGAGGUCAAGUAGUAAGAAAGAAGUAGAAGCGCAUACUCAGAUGAAAGUAUUAACGGAGACCGUUAGAAGUGGAUAUCGGAACUGCAGCAGUCGACGCCACAAGAAUAAGUUGAGUAACGCCAACAAGUGGCGCACAAAAUUGAGAAUAGUACGUGGCGUAAUACCAGUAGUAAUAGGCAUAUCAAGACAUGCACGAACCGAACGCACUCAACUGACGGUAUCGGGUUUAAAGAUAUGGAGAAUUCUGGGAUUGGAAACCUGGUAUCAAAGUAAGUUUUGACCGGAGUGGAACCAAGACCGAGUAUUGAAGUACAAAAUAUUGGAAAAUUGUUGUAAGUCUGAUGGGCGCAUAAAUACAUAUGAUGGAAUUAUAAGAACAUUACAUGCCCCAAUAAGAUAAGUUCAGCCUUUCAGUUCGUAACUAGUAUCCUAGUCAGACCCGUAUCAGCCAAGUUUUGUUUGAGUAAUGACUGAAAUUAAUUCUAAUACUAUCAGUUACCUAAGCUGGCAUAUUAAGUGUCAUUAUCAUUGAUUCAAGAACAAGUAAUGCAGUUUUGUACUAGCAUCAAGAAGUCGGCGAACAAUUUUUCGUAUUCAAACCUCUCAACUAAUAACCCAACAUACUCGGUUAAACCUUUUGUGAGAAAUUAUCAGCUGAGUCAUAAUGAGAAUCAAGUCUGUUCCAGUUCCAGAGAUUAGUCAGUUAAGAGAGAGAUAAAUUAUUUUGGUGUUUGGAACCUAUCAUUUACAUUUAGUACAAUAAUUCAAUUAAUUUGCGAACCUUUCUAAUUCCUUAAUAUCAGUGAAUUGGAUUCACGGAUAGAGUGUUAUCAUUAUGUAAAUCUGACGAAAUGUCUUAAGCUUUCCAGCUUUGUUGUUAGUAAUCAGUUCGGAUUCAGGUAAGUUUUUUUAAGUAAUAGAGUAAUUGGCGGGAGCAAUAAGGGAAGUAAAUACUAGAGAGGACUGAAUGUAGCUGAGGUCGGUGAAGUGAUAAGAAGUGAAGUGUUGCAGACAUGUUAGAUGGCGGUAAAGUAUUAUGUAUAUGAUGGUGUGCCUAACGUCACUAAGCGAUGCAAGUGCUACUUGUGAUGUCUACGGUACGAGAAGUAUUAAUAGAAGAAAUAACAUCGGAUAAGAUGAGAUGAUGUGAAACAGUGUCUGAGAAGUUACAACUAAGAAUGUAAUGAUGUGUAUAGAGAAUGACAGUAAGUAGUCGAAUCAGAGUGCGCAGCCGGGAAGUGGUUGAGAAUGUAGUCGGCAGAUUGACUUGUAGGUCAACAACUCUUUGAGAGAGGAAAUCCCUAUUCGAAGGAAUUGAAAGUGGGGAACCGUAAAAUGAUUAAAGAUCGUAUAACGAGUAAAUUACGCAAAUAUUCAUGUUUGGACCUGAGAUUGUUAGUAUAAAAUACCCUUGAGAGCAAAGAUUGUGAAGGUAAAACGGUUCACUUGGGAAGUUUGACGCGGUGAACUAGUUAGAUUAAGUAUGCUUCGGCAUUGAAUUGAAAAGUGCAAAAGAAGGAAAGUUACGCUGUGAGCGUUAAAGUUGAGGAAAAGUAACAGAGGGAGCUAAUAUAAGAUGAGUGUGUACCUAAAAGUUGCAUUAUGGGCUAAGAUUAUGAGUUCAACGUCAUGGAAUAAAUGAGUAGAAUUUCCGAAAGUAUCAUAAGUGAACGCCAACGCAGUGAAGAAUGACGAUUACUAACCUUGAACGAUAAAUUAUGAUCAAUUAAGAAACGAAAUCCAGAAUCUGGAAAUGGAUUAUAGGCAAUGUACUUGGUGAUGAAUGAAGAAGUUCUUGAAUUUCGCGGACGAAAUUCUUUUAAGGGGGAUAGAUUGUAACAUCCCAACUUUAAUUAAUAGUAGAAUAUUAAUUAGAGAUAAAUAUUAGAGACUAAUUGGAAUAAGUGAGUAGAAAUUAUCACACAAAUAGAACACCAUGAUUUGUGGUCUACAUGUUAUUAAACAAAUGCUAAGAAAGAAUCAAAGCGGGACCCACACUUUGAUUAUGAACCACAUGACCAAAGCCAUAUCUCUUCAAUUUCAUUUUUCAUUUGCUGAACUGAAAGAGCACUCAGGAAACAAAGACUCCCUCACCCUCUCUCACGCCUCCCACCCUCAUCUCUACCUUUCCAUUUAUUCAACAAUCAAACAUGGAAGAUUCUUGCAUGCAAUCCACUCAUUAGUUUCUUGGGUCAAUUAGAGCAAGGAACAAAGUAUUGAUUAAAACCUCAAAGAUUCGGAGGUUUGAGUAAAAGGGGUCAAAUUGGAAGUUGAGAACUUAGUGGCAAAAAUAAGAAGUUCAUGGAGAUAGAGAAGUUGGGGAAAAGCUUGAAGCUUGGAGUUUCAACACUUAAUUCAUGAUUCUACGGCCGCUGGAAGUGGAGGAUGGCAGCAAAAGCUGCAUUUUGCUUACUGCAACAGCUCACCUAGCGAGCAGGAAGGUCUCUCAAUGACCGUAGCAGGGCAACAGUUCUUCUGCAUCUUUGUCAAACCAUUCUUGAAUAUUGGUAAGAAAACUUAGAGCUCUUUUCCUUUCAUUCAGAUUUCAGAAUCAGCAUAUUCUUCGAUGUUAGAAAAUGUCAUUAAUUCCAUUCUUGGUAUUUACAUGUGGUUUUUGUGGUGAAUGAGGCUUGGUUAAAUAAUUGGAGCUGAGCAUGGAAUUAAAAGUGGAAUUCAGAACCAUUAUAAAGGAAAAUAGAAUUUAUUAAGAAGCAUUGGAUGCUUGAAUGAUGACUGAGGAUGUACGAAUCAGUAAGGACAAUUGUUGAAACAAGGAAACAAAGAAGACUGGAAAUAUUUAUGGAAAUUCGUAUGCUGGAUGUACCCUCACUAAAAUGGUACCAGCCUAGUGAGAUGUAAUGGAGAAAUGAGGUCUCGACGAAUCUUUAAAGUGAAAGGUCCAACACAGAAUUUAUGCAGAAAGUGUUUGGGAUUGGGCUGCACUCAAACGAAUUGUGGCCAGUAGGUAUUUUUGAAGUUGGAACUCUGAUGCUGGUAUUAUGCAGAAAAAUCUGCACACAAGUUUGGAGUAGUUUCGUUGCAAAUUCUGCUUUUCGACGAGUUUCGGAAAUGUCGGUGGUAUGGUUCAAGCGUCGAUUUCAGAUAAACAGGUUGAUCAAGAUAUCAUGGUCUACAAGCAUGGAGUUCAGAUACUUGGAUUAUGCUAGUUGAGCUGACGUCAUGUUAUCUUAUAUUUGUAUAAGAUUUAGUUUCUUUAUGUUUUCAGUUGUUAGCUCAAUUUAGUAUUAAUCUCUUGGAUUUUGUAAUCCUAUUUAUGUAUUCGGACAAUAUGUAAUGAAAAUUUAAUGUUUCCCGAUUCAGUUA
Trifolium pratense (red clover) is the source of this 5015-nucleotide long non-coding RNA. RefSeq lists it as uncharacterized. The transcript is spliced from 7 exons. The record is from RefSeq and is a predicted model, not a curated record. NCBI's taxonomy places the organism in Eukaryota, Viridiplantae, Streptophyta, Magnoliopsida, Fabales, Fabaceae.